Molecule: small nuclear RNA, 274 nt
Filed under: Microtus ochrogaster (prairie vole)
Lineage: Eukaryota; Metazoa; Chordata; Mammalia; Rodentia; Cricetidae
Description: 7SK RNA (ENSMOCG00000005793.1)
Rfam family: 7SK RNA
About the family: 7SK was discovered as an abundant small nuclear RNA in the mid-70s but a possible function has only recently been suggested.
Source: Rfam by way of RNAcentral
GGAUGAGGGUGAUCUCACUGUGGUAUCUAUCACCCCAUUGAUCACCCAGGAUAAUUUAGCUGAUCUGGCUGGCUAGGCAACUGCUCCAUUUGACCCUCUUUGCUCUUUGUGUCCUUUCUGAGGCCAGGCUCUCUCUAGAGCAGGAUGACUUUCUCAAUGUGUUCCCCUACUAGUCCCUGGAAACAAACUCUAAGAAAUACCCUUCAAGUGAUACUUGGAAUUAAAUAUAUAAAUCGUAGCUUUCUCUUUUCCACUGUGGAAGAUCAGUUUUGUG